GAUCAUGGCUCAGGAUGAACGCUAGCUACAGGCUUAACACAUGCAAGUCGAGGGGAAACGACAUCGAAAGCUUGCUUUUGAUGGGCGUCGACCGGCGCACGGGUGAGUAACGCGUAUCCAACCUGCCCAUCACUUGGGAAUAACCUUGCGAAAGUAAGACUAAUGCCCAAUUACAUCCCACGAAGGCAUCCGAAUGGGAUUAAAGAUUUAUCGGUGAUGGAUGGGAAUGCGU
This 232-nucleotide ribosomal RNA is filed under the name uncultured bacterium. Its description in RNAcentral is "partial 16S ribosomal RNA". It matches the Rfam family "Bacterial small subunit ribosomal RNA", at positions 15 to 236 of the family's 1533-position model. The record is from RNAcentral.